GGCAGUUUGGCGGAGUGGUCUAACGCGCUAGACUUGAAUACAUACCUAUUCAUGCCAUCUAGUCCUUUCGAGGGCGCAGGUUCGAACCCUGCAACUGUCG
This 100-nucleotide transfer RNA is filed under the name Penicillium solitum. It matches the Rfam family "tRNA". From Rfam's summary of the family: Transfer RNA (tRNA) molecules are approximately 80 nucleotides in length. Their secondary structure includes four short double-helical elements and three loops (D, anti-codon, and T loops). Lineage: Eukaryota; Fungi; Ascomycota; Eurotiomycetes; Eurotiales; Aspergillaceae. The record is from Rfam by way of RNAcentral.